GAGCCGAUAGAGCUGAGCGUUACACGUACUUUUUUCUCUUCUCUCUCACUCUUCACUAUCCUGUAUAAUUUACAUAUGCAUUUAAUAAAAUGUAUGUUCUGUGCAUUGUCUACCUAGGUGCCUGAGAUGCUGCUGCAGGCAGUUUUUUCAUUGUACUCCACUGUGCUUGUGCACUUGACAAUAAAUUUGUCUUGCAGUGCAAGGCUUGAGCAGAGAACUUGGGCAUUAUGGGAAACAUCAAAGAAAACUCACACAAAAUGCUGGAGCAACUCAGCUUGUCAGGAGCAUCUAUUGAUGACUUAAACAAUAGAGGUGUCAUGCCGAGACCCUUCUUCAGGACUAAUCCUGAAGCCCAAUGAUGCCAGGACCAUUGUUGCCUCUGAUUUCUAGCAUCUGCAGAUUUUCUCAUGUCUGUGAUUAUGGGAAACACAGUCAUUUAUUAUCCAGCUUUAACUACUCUUGGAAAGGUGGCGACAUUACGGUAAAGCAAAGAAAUACAACAAAAUCAGUGAAAAACAACUCAAAGACUGACAAGCAACCAAUGUGCAGAAGAAGACAAGCUGUGCAAAUACAAAUAUACAAACAAACAACGCUGAGAACAUGAUUUGUAGCUUCCUUGAAAGUGAAUCUAUAGGUUGUGUUUGGUGAUCAGUUCAGUGUUGAGGUGAGUGAAGUUAUCCACGCUGGUUCAGGAGCCUGAUGGUUGAAAGGUAAUAACUGUUCCUGAACUUGGUGCUGUUCAAAGUCCCACUUCCCAGCUUUUGAUCCACAGCCUUAUUGGUUACUGCUGUUCAAUCCAUAUAGGUUACUGCUGUACUGUUUGAACAGAUGUGUAAAAACUCAUGAGAGGCACUGGGAAAGGGAACUGAAAACUAGAGGCAUAGGUUAAACGUCAGAGGGGAAAGAUUUGAAAGGAACCUAGGGGGAAACUACUUCAAACAGAAGGUGAUGCAAAAAUUGAAUAAACUGACAGGGAAAUUGUUGAGGCAGGUACAAUAAUGACUUUUAAAAGAUGCUUGGUCAAGUACAUGAAUAGGAAAGGUUUAGAAGGAUAUGGACCACGUAUAGGCAACUGGCACUAGCCUCGAUAGUAUCAUGGUCAGUAUGGACAAGUUGGACCAUUAUUUUAUCUGCCACUGCUCUUCCAGGCCAUGAGUUCUUUACUCUUGCCACUCUCUGGAUGAAAAUGUAUUUCCAAACUGGCCUUGAGUCUCACCACAAGCAAGAGGAAAUAUUUGCAGAUGCUGGAAAUCUGAGCAACACACAAAAUGCUGGAGGAACUCAGCAGGCCAGACAGCAUCUAUGUG
Molecule: long non-coding RNA, 1307 nt
Organism: Mobula hypostoma (lesser devil ray)
Lineage: Eukaryota; Metazoa; Chordata; Chondrichthyes; Myliobatiformes; Myliobatidae
Exons: 3
Source: RefSeq, a predicted model, not a curated record